RNAcentral lists this unclassified non-coding RNA (345 nucleotides) under Heterophyllaea pustulata. RNAcentral describes it as "partial external transcribed spacer". The record is from RNAcentral. Lineage: Eukaryota; Viridiplantae; Streptophyta; Magnoliopsida; Gentianales; Rubiaceae.
GGCCGCAGGGCGCCAGUGCGACGCCGAACGUCGUUCGGUCUGGGCGCAUUCAGCGCCAACUCUGGGCAAAAAGGGGUCGGGGACCCCGUGCCCCCAACGCGUUCCGCAUCCCCGAGGUCGGGCGAGCGUUCGAGGGCCGCAAAGACCGCGUGCGCGGUAAGAGCGGAACACGAACGUCGCCUCGAUGUUCGUCCUGAGCCGCGUCGCAAGAACGAGCAGCACCUUGGCGAACGAUACGAACAUGGACAAUCGAAUUCCAUCGACGUAGGUACGAAACACAGGAAACCGGACAAGACGGGCGAGGUCGACGUCGCUCUCGCACCAACGAUUGAAGAGGAAGGCAAG